Pseudophryne corroboree (corroboree frog) is the source of this 548-nucleotide long non-coding RNA. RefSeq lists it as uncharacterized. The transcript has 2 exons. The record is from RefSeq and is a predicted model, not a curated record. NCBI's taxonomy places the organism in Eukaryota, Metazoa, Chordata, Amphibia, Anura, Myobatrachidae.
UCUCAGAUGGUGGGAGCGGAACUAUGCAGUGUUGGGUUCCCAUAGCAAUGACCCUGUCUCCACGGCACGCCCUUGACAUCAUAACUCAGCUACGUGGAAGUGAGCAGAGAGGACAGAGUGGGCGGAUGCGCCGUGGAAUAGGAAGGAAUAUGGCGACAUAUGUAUUUCCGCCCGUUUACGCUGGUGGAAUUAUAGUGAUGAGAUAAUAAUUUGUGAAAACCUCCUCGAGACUUUCUAAAAUGGCGGCCGCGGGACUUCCGGCUAUGGCGCACCACGUGAUCGGAUAUACUUUGAGACGAGAUAGAACUACACUAACACGGACGGUCCCGAUCACGUGACGAAACGGUCACGUGAUGUGAUGUGACGUGAAUGCGGAAGGAUAGGAUACCGUCUUCCUGCGGUGUGGAACUUAUGUUAGAGUAUAGACGGAAGUUGUUCCUGGUUGCACAGGGCACUUCCGGUCAUCGCAAAUUUAUAUUUAAUGUUUAUAACUCGUUUUAUGUGGACUUUUUAAUACUUCUUAUGAAAUAAAGAGAUAUUGCAUUAUU